GGAGCUGUAGCUCAGCGGUAAAACUUCUGCUUUGCAUGAAGAAGGGCCCAGGUAUGAUUCCUGGCAUGCCCA
RNAcentral lists this transfer RNA (72 nucleotides) under Sphaerodactylus townsendi. RNAcentral's name for it is "tRNA-Ala". The record is from RNAcentral. Lineage: Eukaryota; Metazoa; Chordata; Lepidosauria; Squamata; Sphaerodactylidae.